AGGAUUAACGCUGGCGGCGUGCCUAACACAUGCAAGUCGAACGAGGGGGGCAACCCCCGAGUGGCAGACGGGUGAGUAACGCGUGGUCAACCUACCCUAGAGUGGGGAAUAACUAGCCGAAAGGUUAGCUAAUACCGCAUGAUACGUUUUGGGACAUCCCAGGACGUUGAAAGGAGCAAUCCGCUCGAGGACGGGACCGCGUCCGAUUAGCUAGUUGGUGAGGUAACGGCCCACCAAGGCUCCGAUCGGUAGCUGGUUUGAGAGAGCGACCAGCCACACUGGGACUGAGAAACGGCCCAGACUCCUACGGGAGGCAGCAGUGAGGAAUUUUCCGCAAUGGGCGAAAGCCUGACGGAGCGACGCCGCGUGUGGGAAGAAGGCCUUCGGGUCGUAAACCACUGUCGAAGGGGACUAUACUGAAGGUACCCUUGGAGGAAGCCCCGGCUAACCUACGUGCCAGCAGCCGC
This 467-nucleotide ribosomal RNA is filed under the name uncultured bacterium. RNAcentral describes it as "SSU rRNA". It matches the Rfam family "Bacterial small subunit ribosomal RNA", at positions 26 to 518 of the family's 1533-position model. The record is from RNAcentral.